UGAGAGGGCGACCGGCCACACUGGGACUGAGACACGGCCCAGACUCCUACGGGAGGCAGCAGUGGGGAAUAUUGCACAAUGGGCGAAAGCCUGAUGCAGCGACGCCGCGUGAGGGAUGACGGCCUUCGGGUUGUAAACCUCUUUCAGCAGGGAAGAAGCCGCAAGGUGACGGUACCUGCAGAAGAAGCACCGGCUAACUACGUGCCAGCAGCCGCGGUAAUACGUAGGGUGCGAGCAUUGUCCGGAAUUAUUGGGCGUAAAGAGCUCGUAGGCGGCCUGUCGCGUCGGAUGUGAAAGCCCGGGGCUUAACCCCGGGUCUGCAUUCGAUACGGGCAGGCUAGAGUUCGGUAGGGGAGACUGGAAUUCCUGGUGUAGCGGUGAAAUGCGCAGAUAUCAGGAGGAACACCGGUGGCGAAGGCGGGUCUCUGGGCCGAUACUGACGCUGAGGAGCGAAAGCGUGGGGAGCGAACAGGAUUAGAUACCCUGGUAGUCCACGCCGUAAACGUUGGGAACUAGGUGUGGGCGACAUUCCACGUUGUCCGUGCCGCAGCUAACGCAUUAAGUUCCCCGCCU
This 573-nucleotide ribosomal RNA is filed under the name Peterkaempfera griseoplana. Its description in RNAcentral is "bacterial SSU rRNA". It matches the Rfam family "Bacterial small subunit ribosomal RNA", at positions 293 to 874 of the family's 1533-position model. Lineage: Bacteria; Bacillati; Actinomycetota; Actinomycetes; Kitasatosporales; Streptomycetaceae. The record is from RNAcentral.